Molecule: ribosomal RNA, 254 nt
Filed under: uncultured bacterium
Lineage: Bacteria
Description: partial 16S ribosomal RNA
Rfam family: Bacterial small subunit ribosomal RNA
Source: RNAcentral
UACGGGGGGAGCAAGCGUUGUUCGGAUUUACUGGGCGUAAAGGGCGCGUAGGCGGUCAGCACAAGUCAGUUGUGAAAUCUCCGGGCUUAACUCGGAAAGGUCAACUGAUACUGUGCGACUGGAGUGCGGAAGGGGCAACUGGAAUUCUCGGUGUAGCGGUGAAAUGCGUAGAUAUCGGAAAGAACACCAACGGCGAAAGCACUCUGCUGGGCCGACACUGACACUGAGAGACGAAAGCUAGGGGAGCGAACAGG